AGAGAAUUUAGCAUUAAAUAGGCUGAGAUCCAGAAUUUGUGGGAACGUGAGAUGUUAGACAUCGGUAAUAUUUAGUUCGGAGAAAUGAACAUUAUAAAACUUCUUCCGGUUGGUGGAUCGGCAAAAUCAUUAGGGAAGCGGACAAAACAUUUUGUUGUAUUUAGAUUAUUUUCUAUUACGUUCUCCUCAGUUCUCUUGUGAAUGGAUCAAGAGCCAGACAUUUGUGAUAAAUCGAGCAGAUGCGAAGCAUUGCUGAGAGUUCGGGUUCCCAUUUAAAUA
This is a long non-coding RNA of Octopus sinensis (East Asian common octopus), 279 nucleotides long. RefSeq lists it as uncharacterized. NCBI's taxonomy places the organism in Eukaryota, Metazoa, Mollusca, Cephalopoda, Octopoda, Octopodidae. The transcript has 3 exons. The record is from RefSeq and is a predicted model, not a curated record.